CCAUGCAAGUCGAGCGGCAGCACGGGUACUUGUACCUGGUGGCGAGCGGCGGACGGGUGAGUAAUGCCUAGGAAUCUGCCUGGUAGUGGGGGAUAACGCUCGGAAACGGACGCUAAUACCGCAUACGUCCUACGGGAGAAAGCAGGGGACCUUCGGGCCUUGCGCUAUCAGAUGAGCCUAGGUCGGAUUAGCUAGUUGGUGAGGUAAUGGCUCACCAAGGCGACGAUCCGUAACUGGUCUGAGAGGAUGAUCAGUCACACUGGAACUGAGACACGGUCCAGACUCCUACGGGAGGCAGCAGUGGGGAAUAUUGGACAAUGGGCGAAAGCCUGAUCCAGCCAUGCCGCGUGUGUGAAGAAGGUCUUCGGAUUGUAAAGCACUUUAAGUUGGGAGGAAGGGCAUUUACCUAAUACGUAAGUGUUUUGACGUUACCGACAGAAUAAGCACCGGCUAACUCUGUGCCAGCAGCCGCGGUAAUACAGAGGGUGCAAGCGUUAAUCGGAAUUACUGGGCGUAAAGCGCGCGUAGGUGGUUCGUUAAGUUGGAUGUGAAAUCCCCGGGCUCAACCUGGGAACUGCAUUCAAAACUGUCGAGCUAGAGUAUGGUAGAGGGUGGUGGAAUUUCCUGUGUAGCGGUGAAAUGCGUAGAUAUAGGAAGGAACACCAGUGGCGAAGGCGACCACCUGGACUGAUACUGACACUGAGGUGCGAAAGCGUGGGGAGCAAACAGGAUUAGAUACCCUGGUAGUCCACGCCGUAAACGAUGUCAACUAGCCGUUGGGAGCCUUGAGCUCUUAGUGGCGCAGCUAACGCAUUAAGUUGACCGCCUGGGGAGUACGGCCGCAAGGUUAAAACUCAAAUGAAUUGACGGGGGCCCGCACAAGCGGUGGAACAUGUGGUUUAAUUCGAAGCAACGCGAAGAACCUUACCAGGCCUUGACUUCAAUGAACUUUCCGAAAUGGAUUGGUGCCUUCGGGACAUUGAGACAGUGCUGCUGGCUGUCUCAGCU
RNAcentral lists this ribosomal RNA (1008 nucleotides) under Pseudomonas frederiksbergensis. RNAcentral describes it as "bacterial SSU rRNA". It matches the Rfam family "Bacterial small subunit ribosomal RNA", at positions 53 to 1060 of the family's 1533-position model. Lineage: Bacteria; Pseudomonadati; Pseudomonadota; Gammaproteobacteria; Pseudomonadales; Pseudomonadaceae. The record is from RNAcentral.